RNAcentral lists this small nucleolar RNA (134 nucleotides) under Panthera tigris altaica (Amur tiger). RNAcentral's name for it is "Small nucleolar RNA SNORA70 (ENSPTIG00000000143.1)". It matches the Rfam family "Small nucleolar RNA SNORA70". Rfam says of the family: snoRNA U70 seems to be exclusive to mammals and is a member of the H/ACA class of snoRNA which contain H (ANANNA) and ACA box motifs. H/ACA box snoRNAs are involved in the conversion of uridines to pseudouridines (5-ribosyluracil) a constituent of structural RNAs (transfer, ribosomal, small nuclear, and small nucleolar). Lineage: Eukaryota; Metazoa; Chordata; Mammalia; Carnivora; Felidae. The record is from Rfam by way of RNAcentral.
AUGCAGCCAAUUAAGCCGACUGUGCUCUUUCCCCAUGGGAGCCCAGUGUGCAAUGGCUGCAAACAGUAGCCUCCUUGGUAGUGUGUGCAGCCUGUUGAUUGUACAGGUUGCCCUAAGGGACCUUGGAGACAGCC